This 468-nucleotide ribosomal RNA is filed under the name uncultured bacterium. RNAcentral's name for it is "partial 16S ribosomal RNA". It matches the Rfam family "Bacterial small subunit ribosomal RNA", at positions 28 to 507 of the family's 1533-position model. The record is from RNAcentral.
GACGAACGCUGGCGGCGUGCUUAACACAUGCAAGUCGAACGGAAAGGCCCUGCUUUUGUGGGGUGCUCGAGUUGCGAACGGGUGAGUAACACGUGAGUAACCUGCCCUUGACUUUGGGAUAACUUCAGGAAACUGGGGCUAAUACCGGAUAGGAGCUCCUGCUGCAUGGUGGGGGUUGGAAAGUUUCGGCGGUUGGGGAUGGACUCGCCGCUUAUCAGCUUGUUGGUGGGGUAGUGGAUUACCAAGGCUUUGACGGGUAGCCGGCCUGAGAGGGUGACCGGCCACAUUGGGACUGAGAUACGGCACAGACUCCUACGGGAGGCAGCAGAGGGGAAUAGUGCACAAUGGGCGGAAGCCUGAUGUAGCAACGCCGCGUGCGGUAUGACGGCCUUCGGGUUGUAAACCGCUUUCGCCUGUGACGAAGCGUGAGUGACGGUAAUGGGUAAAGAAGCACCGGCUAACUACGUG